GUAACGCUAAAGGGACGUUCCCAAAUUCAUCUAUGUAUUCAUUUGUUUAGAUCUUUAAAACUGAACGGUUUGACAAUCCGACUACUGAUUCGUAAUGAACAACAUUAACAUACAUGUAACUUAUUUGCAAAAUUAAAAUUUUAUCAAGUCUUCAAAUAUACAACGUGUUGUAUCUACAUAUAUGAAUAUUUGGGAAACUGAAUCAUUAUUUUCAUGAAAAAAUGACGAUCCUCUAAAAGUUAAAGAUUGUCGAACGUAUCCUGUGCAACUGCCUGAGUACAAGAUGUCGGUACAAAGAGUAGAGUCCUGUAAGCGGGAAGAGAUAGCGAUGAUGCUGGAAAUUAGUGUAACAUGUACCAGUUGCCCCUUGGGGUAGAACUAGAAAUCAGAGGAUAUCGUUCCUUAUGAGAAAGAUCAGGUCUAAAGAGCAAUCCCAGAGUUAGCUAAGCUCGAAGUCCCAAAGGCAGGACCAUGAGGGUUACUGCUAUGCAGCAGGUCCAGGGGGAUGGUAUCAUGAAGGGAAUGCAAAACAUCCUGAUUAAUGUUCCACUUUAGAGAGGAAAUGGAAGUACCAAAAAAUGGGCUUUCCCAUCCACGCAAGUGAGAAUAAGAUACAAUUAUUAAAUAAUCUUACAGUUUUAAAAUUCUUGCAAAACUUGCAACACCGUGAAGAAACUUAUUCAGCCGAAGCAACGGAGAUUUCUAAUUCCCUCGUGAAAACCGGCAUUAAGAAUUAUAUACUAAUAAGAAUAAUCUGAAUGAGACUGUCUUUAUAAAAGCGCUAGAAUAAACUUGCUACACUUUCAAAGAAUGCUUUUCGUAAUUUUAGUCAUAUUUUUGUAAAUAAGCAGAAAUAAGUAACAGCAGUGAUAUAUAUUGUUUGUAAAUACUCACUAAUAAAUAAUACCUAGUUUCACUUGCAAUAUGUAAAUAUAUUUUAGCAAGUGUAAUCUAAUUACAACUAGUAUGCCACAUCUCAAACCCUGCUCCAGGUAUUUUAUCCACAAAGUUUCUUCAGUUCAGUGUAAUUCUUUUGAAAUUGACAUUAUGUUUCACAUUUGUACGUAUAAUGAUGUAAGUGCGAGAUAGUACGUGCGAAUCAGGUGCGACCAAACUCAAGCUGACGUGCUAGGUUUUGAAGUACGUGUGAGAGAGGGGAUGAUUCGCGAGUACGCGAAACAAAGGCAGCAGUAGAUAUCGAGAUCGUAACAUUACUGUCACGCUUGUACGCUGUCACCAAUAUUUGUGCAUCAGUGCGUGUAAUAAAGAUCGUAAUACGUUAAUACAUUUUUCUUCAUAACUUCCGUUUACUGCAUGUUAAGUGUUUAAAUGAAACAUAAGUUUCACACGUGCUCAUUAGAUGGAAUGACGGAAAUUCCUGUUUUCUCUGUUACAAGCAAACAAAAAACGUGAAAACACUUUCUUGGUACUUCAAUUUUCUUCCUUCGUUUAUGAAUAUUUUAAAAAACAUUUACUGUCUAUAGACAUUUUAUAAACAUUUACUUUUGGUUUAUAUUUUAAUAUUCAUGUAGGUAAAAAUACUUUGAAUAUGUACUAACGAAUUUUAAAAAUGACAAGGAUAGAAGUUUUCCAACUUUCAAAUUAACCAACCAGUUUUUCAGACUCAUUAUUAAGUUGCUAACGAACCAAUUGUAAACAAAUCUCUGAUAUUAAAUUAUACGCAUAAUUUUGAGUAUUGUAAUUACGCAACAAUGUUCUGAUUUAAAGCAAAAUUUAUGUAAAUGUGUUUAAAUUGAUACACUGGAACACGGUUAUUUUGAAAUAAAAUAUUAUGUUAAUGAUCCGCAUAUCUACCUGCAGUGAUAAUCCCCGUGCUUAAAUACUUAACCGUGCAAUUGGCGAAAAUGGGUUUUCUUAUCGAUCAACGAGGAUUAACGGACACUCGGUUUACGUCCUCGUAUAACUUCAUUAUUUUAUCCUAUUUUCCAAUUGAGUUCAUGUACCUGCUAAAAUUACGAACACAAAUUUAUUCGAUUAUUAUCUUUCUGUGGGUUUACAAGAAAUACGAAUAAAUAUACAGAAGCAAACUCGAAAUUAAAUACAUUACAGUUUAAAAUCAUCUACAAUAUUAUGAUUAUACGGGACAGAAACAUUGUAAUAUAGAAACAAAUUAAUUCGCUAGGAAUAAAAAUGAAAAACAUAAGACAUUGUUUUUUAUCAGUACUUAUUAUUUAACAUAUUAAUUUUGACGACAAGAAAACUGCAUUCAUAUUGGAAUGCGAAGAAGGCUGCGGUGUAAAGAUGAGUCAACCUUUUGCCUUGCGAUUAUGUAAGACUGACUGACCUUUAGGUUCGUUCAUGGCAUGCAGCAUUUACGUAAUUUACCGAUUACUGAUGUAUUAGUCUUCUGAACCUAGAAACUAGUUCUUCUUCUCAUUCUAAUAUUUUUAAGAAAACCAGGAUUCAUUUUGUAAACUGAGCACACAGUGUUCAGACUGUGGUCUACAGUAUAAGUAGUGUCAAAGUGAGGUGUAAACGUCUCCUUCCUUCUCUGCUGCAUGUAUGGUAACGGUUGUUAAUGAACCAACAUGACAGUAAUGUCAUAUCAUAUUUAUCCUUUCAGUAUACCGUCUGCGGUUAUCUAUUUAUACGUAUUACGCAUAAUGCAGUUUCAGUUACAAAAUUACUUUAAUUUAAAUAUUGUAUUUUAAACGUUAGACUUUUUAGGAAUAGUUGUACAAAGAUCAGUUUUUUUAUCAUUUGCAUUUUUCAUUUAUUACUUGUUAGCUUACUAUACGAAUAUGUCAAGAAAUCGUAGUGUAAAACCAUAUUUGCUAUGGAAUUUUAUUUAUCAUUUACAUUAUAAACGUUUCUUGGAGAUACAUAUUAUGAACAGUAUAAGGUAAUUAGAAAUGAAUGUUUUGUUCCUCCCUUUUGUGUUCUUAAAAAAACAGAUAUUUUAUUUACAAGUAAUCAUUGAUUGCUAUUUAGCCAUUUAUAGUUGCUCACAAGUGUAUUUAAAUAUAAUAAGAAAUUUUUUUAUAAUGAAUAUUUUUAUUUCGUAAUAAUUCAUUCUACUUGUAAAAAUUCCAUUAAAGCAUACAAGUUUAUCAUUCGACUAAUUUUUUAUUUUUGUUUUAUUGAUUUAAUCAUUUAUUUAUAGGAUAUAAUGAGGCGUCGAAUAUAUAUGUGACCUUGUUUAGAAAAUUUAAUGUCAGCUGAUAUUACAGAAAAUAUUCAAUAAAUGUAAAAUGAAAGUCCCCUUGAAUAAAGUAUAUCUUUUACACUUUUUAUAUUUUAAAUACUUCUUAUUUUUCUCAUUAAUAAAUAAGUGUCUAGAUGUGUAAACUGUAUUUGGAUUGUAAAUUAUAUGUAUUUUACGUAAAAAAAUAGAAAUUGGAGUAUUUAAAAAUUAGAAAAUUAAAUAUUUAGUAUUUGAAAAUUAAAUGGAUUUAUUAGUACUAAGCGUAUCGACAUUUUAUGUAUAUUUAUUUCUACUGUAACCAGUGAAAUACUUACGUGGUUACAAAAUGAGGGUGAACAAAUUAGGAGAUAAAUUUUUCUUAGCGGAAACAGGAAGAAAAGGAAAUAUAAAAAUUAAAACACUAAUUAAUCGAACAAUAUAGGGACUCAUACAAAUUUAAAUGAACGAAGGAAAAAGCCGGUUGUUUGACCUGUUACGG
This is a non-coding RNA of Nomia melanderi (Alkali bee), 3644 nucleotides long. Lineage: Eukaryota; Metazoa; Arthropoda; Insecta; Hymenoptera; Halictidae. The record is from RefSeq and is a predicted model, not a curated record.